UCAGUUCAGGUGAGACUCCCCCUAAAUUUAAGCAUAUUACUAAGGGGAGGAAAAGAAACUAACCGGAUUCCUCAGUAGCGGCGAGCGAACAGGGAGAGCCCAGCGCUGAUUCCCCCGGCCUCGCUCGGCGGGAAAUGUAGCGUUUGGGAGGUCCGUCAACACGGCGUUUCGCGGUUCGCUCAAGUCCAACUUGAAUGGGGCCACACAGAGGGUGACAGGCCCGUAGAGCAGAAGCGAUCGCCGUGUGGAUCUCUCCUUAGAGUCGGUUUGCUUGAGAGUGCAGACCUAAGUGGGUGGUAAACUCCAUCUAAGGCUAAAUACAACCACGAGACCGAUAGCACACAAGUACCGUGAGGGAAAGGUGAAAAGAACUUUGAGGAGAGAGUUCAAUAGUACGUGAAACUGAGGUGGUGCAAACGGACGAGAUCGAAAAGUCCGAAUGGGGUGAUUCAAGUUUAUCCGUGCCGGUGGCGUGCGGGUUCAGAUCCUGCGGACGGCUCGGGCCUCUCGGGGUGCCGGGUUUUCUCCGUAUUACUCGGCCUGCGCGUAUCUGUCCGGUGCGGUUUACUGCACUUCUCCCCUUGUAGGACGUCGCAACCCGUUGGGAAGUUCCGAUCUAUGGCCCGUGGUGGAGCCCGUGCCCGAGCGCAGGUUCGCUUGUGUUGCGGUGCACGGACCCGCGGUGACCUGAUCGGCGCCCGACGGUAUCAAAGCUAGGGAAGGGACCGCACAGAGGUUGCGUUCGAUGCCCGUACUGGGCUACACUCGGACAGGUCCGUACCCGGUCAGCGGCGCUACUGCUUUCGAUACUCGUCCGACCCGUCUUGAAACACGGACCAAGGAGUCU
This 847-nucleotide ribosomal RNA is filed under the name Echinothrips americanus. RNAcentral describes it as "eukaryotic LSU rRNA". It matches the Rfam family "Eukaryotic large subunit ribosomal RNA", at positions 1 to 676 of the family's 3401-position model. Lineage: Eukaryota; Metazoa; Arthropoda; Insecta; Thysanoptera; Thripidae. The record is from RNAcentral.